AGUAGGGAAUGGGCAUGUGCAGG
RNAcentral lists this non-coding RNA (23 nucleotides) under Cricetulus griseus (Chinese hamster). The record is from RNAcentral. Lineage: Eukaryota; Metazoa; Chordata; Mammalia; Rodentia; Cricetidae.